CUCUUAUCCAGAGAGGUGGAGGGACCGGCCCGAUGAUACCUCGGCAACCUGGCAAAACUGAUAUGUGGAUCAGCGAUGCUCAGGUGCCAAUUCCGGCAGAGAAAUUCUGGGAGAUGAGAG
Molecule: non-coding RNA, 120 nt
Filed under: Leptolinea tardivitalis
Lineage: Bacteria; Bacillati; Chloroflexota; Anaerolineae; Anaerolineales; Anaerolineaceae
Description: SAM-I sequence
Rfam family: SAM riboswitch aptamer (S box leader)
About the family: The SAM riboswitch is found upstream of a number of genes which code for proteins involved in methionine or cysteine biosynthesis in Gram-positive bacteria. The SAM riboswitch acts at the level of transcription termination control. The predicted structure consists of a complex stem-loop region followed by a single stem loop terminator region.
Source: Rfam by way of RNAcentral